This 76-nucleotide transfer RNA is filed under the name Gammaproteobacteria bacterium RIFCSPHIGHO2_12_FULL_37_14. RNAcentral describes it as "tRNA-His". It matches the Rfam family "tRNA". Rfam says of the family: Transfer RNA (tRNA) molecules are approximately 80 nucleotides in length. Their secondary structure includes four short double-helical elements and three loops (D, anti-codon, and T loops). Lineage: Bacteria; Pseudomonadati; Pseudomonadota; Gammaproteobacteria. RNAcentral also lists the same sequence under 1 other name. The record is from RNAcentral.
GUGGGCGUAGCUCAGUCGGUAGAGCCCCGGAUUGUGAUUCCGGUUGUCGUGGGUUCGAUCCCCAUCGCUCACCCCA